Long non-coding RNA from Odocoileus virginianus texanus, 171 nucleotides. RefSeq lists it as uncharacterized. NCBI's taxonomy places the organism in Eukaryota, Metazoa, Chordata, Mammalia, Artiodactyla, Cervidae. The record is from RefSeq and is a predicted model, not a curated record.
UUUCUGGGAGAUCUACAGGAGGGACUGGCUGGUAUGUCCUCCUUCUCUUUCUGGUCCCUUCAGAAUUUUUCCAGGACUAGGAAAAUACCAAGAACGUACACUUGUUCUGGAUAUACCAAAGCCUCAGUGAUUUCUACAAUGCUGGAGAAGGAUAUGGCAAGCCACUCCAAU